Glycine soja is the source of this 633-nucleotide long non-coding RNA. RefSeq lists it as uncharacterized. The transcript has 2 exons. Lineage: Eukaryota; Viridiplantae; Streptophyta; Magnoliopsida; Fabales; Fabaceae. The record is from RefSeq and is a predicted model, not a curated record.
AAUGUUGUGACACGUCUUAGGGGUAUGGAGAGAGGUUAGCAGAAGUUGCUUUCUAUGUGACUGUAUUGUAUUGUAUUCGAUCUCCUCUGGCAGCAUAAAUUCUGCUCAUCUUCUUCACAACAGAAUCCAUUGGUAGGAAGACAGACAUAUUGUUGAAAGCAGCUAGCAUGCCCACUAAAGACAACUUUUGAUCUGUUCUCCAAGAUUUUAUCCAACAAAAGAUAAGAUGAACCAGACAUGAUCCUCGUAGUAACCUUGAAAAAGGAGGGACCAACACACAACAACAUCAAAUGCCAACAAAGGACGAUAGAUAGAUAGAUAACUGGCCAAAUCAAUGAAAAGAAGAAACACUGCCUCAAGUGUAAUCAGAAAGAAAAUACAACAAUGCUAGGUAAAAUUCGAGAUUCAGAAACCAGAAUGAAGCACACUCCAGCCAAUCAAGCUUGGGAAACAAGGCUCAAUAAUUGAUUAUACUCUAUACAGAAUCCUCUAAAUUAUAAUCUGCAAGAAUACCAUAUCACCAAGUGUAAAAUAGCAAAGAACUUGUAUAUCAUUCAGGCCCCACGAGACUAAUGAUUGCUGAUUGACCCUUUGGAUAUUUUUUAAACUCAGGUUUAAAUUAUUCAUUUAGUC